Molecule: ribosomal RNA, 227 nt
Filed under: uncultured bacterium
Lineage: Bacteria
Description: partial 16S ribosomal RNA
Rfam family: Bacterial small subunit ribosomal RNA
Source: RNAcentral
AACCUGUCCCCGAGCCUGGGAUAACCUGUCGAAAGGCGGGCUAAUACCGGAUAUGGCCGUAGGAGCACCAGCUCUAGCGGUAAAAGGUGGCCUCUGCUUGCAAGCUACCACUGGGGGAGGGGCCUGCGGGCCAUUAGCUAGUUGGUGAGGUAAUGGCUCACCAAGGCGAAGAUGGCUAGCUGGUCUGAGAGGAUGGCCAGCCACACUGGGACUGAAACACGGCCCAG